GAUGAACGCUGGCGGCGUGCCUAAUACAUGCAAGUCGAGCGAACGGACGAGAAGCUUGCUUCUCUGAUGUUAGCGGCGGACGGGUGAGUAACACGUGGAUAACCUACCUAUAAGACUGGGAUAACUUCGGGAAACCGGAGCUAAUACCGGAUAAUAUUUUGAACCGCAUGGUUCAAAAGUGAAAGACGGUCUUGCUGUCACUUAUAGAUGGAUCCGCGCUGCAUUAGCUAGUUGGUAAGGUAACGGCUUACCAAGGCAACGAUGCAUAGCCGACCUGAGAGGGGGAUCGGCCACACUGGAACUGAGACACGGUCCAGACUCCUACGGGAGGCAGCAGUAGGGAAUCUUCCGCAAUGGGCGAAAGCCUGACGGAGCAACGCCGCGUGAGUGAUGAAGGUCUUCGGAUCGUAAAACUCUGUUAUUAGGGAAGAACAUAUGUGUAAGUAACUGUGCACAUCUUGACGGUACCUAAGCAGAAAGCCACGGCUAACUACGU
RNAcentral lists this ribosomal RNA (496 nucleotides) under uncultured bacterium. Its description in RNAcentral is "partial 16S ribosomal RNA". It matches the Rfam family "Bacterial small subunit ribosomal RNA", at positions 28 to 506 of the family's 1533-position model. The record is from RNAcentral.